Molecule: ribosomal RNA, 424 nt
Filed under: uncultured Escherichia sp.
Lineage: Bacteria; Pseudomonadati; Pseudomonadota; Gammaproteobacteria; Enterobacterales; Enterobacteriaceae
Description: bacterial SSU rRNA
Rfam family: Bacterial small subunit ribosomal RNA
Source: RNAcentral
AUUGAACGCUGGCGGCAGGCCUAACACAUGCAAGUCGAACGGUAACAGGAAGAAGCUUGCUUCUUUGCUGACGAGUGGCGGACGGGUGAGUAAUGUCUGGGAAACUGCCUGAUGGAGGGGGAUAACUACUGGAAACGGUAGCUAAUACCGCAUAACGUCGCAAGACCAAAGAGGGGGACCUUCGGGCCUCUUGCCAUCGGAUGUGCCCAGAUGGGAUUAGCUUGUUGGUGGGGUAACGGCUCACCAAGGCGACGAUCCCUAGCUGGUCUGAGAGGAUGACCAGCCACACUGGAACUGAGACACGGUCCAGACUCCUACGGGAGGCAGCAGUGGGGAAUAUUGCACAAUGGGCGCAAGCCUGAUGCAGCCAUGCCGCGUGUAUGAAGAAGGCCUUCGGGUUGUAAAGUACUUUCAGCGGGGAGGA